Molecule: ribosomal RNA, 482 nt
Filed under: uncultured bacterium
Lineage: Bacteria
Description: partial 16S ribosomal RNA
Rfam family: Bacterial small subunit ribosomal RNA
Source: RNAcentral
AGUGAACGUUGGCGGCGUGGAUUAGGCAUGCAAGUCGAGCGAGAACCGUAGCAAUACGGGGACAGCGGCGAAAGGGACAGUAAUGUGUAGGUACCUACCCCGAGGUCUGGGAUAGCUGCGGGAAACUGCAGGUAAUACCGGAUAAUGUCUUCGGACCAAAGGCGUCAUUCCACCUUGGGAGGGGCCUGCAUCCUAUUAGCUUGUUGGCGGGGUAACGGCCCACCAAGGCGACGAUGGGUAGCGGGUGUGAGAGCACGACCCGCGUCAUUGGGACUGAGACACUGCCCAGACACCUACGGGUGGCUGCAGUCGAGGAUCUUCGGCAAUGGGCGCAAGCCUGACCGAGCGACGCCGCAUGCGGGAUGAAGGCCUUCGGGUUGUAAACCGCUGUCGUAGAGGAGGAAAUGCAGGGGGGUUCUCCCUUCUGUUUGACCUAUUCUAGGAGGAAGGACGGGCUAAGUUCGUGCCAGCCGCCGCCGUAA